This 301-nucleotide ribosomal RNA is filed under the name uncultured bacterium. RNAcentral's name for it is "partial 16S ribosomal RNA". It matches the Rfam family "Bacterial small subunit ribosomal RNA", at positions 509 to 807 of the family's 1533-position model. The record is from RNAcentral.
CAGUAGCCGCGGUAAUACGGAGGGAGCUAGCGUUGUUCGGAAUUACUGGGCGUAAAGCGCGCGUAGGCGGUUACUCAAGUCAGAGGUGAAAUCCCCGGGCUCAACCUGGGAACUGCAUUUGUGACUGGCAAGCUAGAGUCUGGCAGAGGGGGGUGGAAUUCCGCGUGUAGCAGUGAAAUGCGUAGAUAUGCGGAGGAACACCGAUGGCGAAGGCAGCCCCCUGGGCCAACACUGACGCUCAUGCACGAAAGCGUGGGGAGCAAACAGGAUUAGAUACCCCGGUAGUCCCUGUCUCUUAUAC